AGGACAUCCACUGUGGUAGUACCUCGGC
This 28-nucleotide non-coding RNA is filed under the name Rattus norvegicus (Norway rat). Lineage: Eukaryota; Metazoa; Chordata; Mammalia; Rodentia; Muridae. The record is from RNAcentral.